CCUACGGGGGGCAGCAGUGGGGAAUAUUGCACAAUGGGCGCAAGCCUGAUGCAGCCAUGCCGCGUGUGUGAAGAAGGCUUUCGGGUUGUAAAGCACUUUCAGCGGGGAGGAAGGCGGUGAGGUUAAUAACCUCAUCGAUUGACGUUACCCGCAGAAGAAGCACCGGCUAACUCCGUGCCAGCAGCCGCGGUAAUACGGAGGGUGCAAGCGUUAAUCGGAAUUACUGGGCGUGAAGCGCACGCAGGCGGUCUGUCAAGUCGGAUGUGAAAUCCCCGGGCUCAACCUGGGAACUGCAUUCGAAACUGGCAGGCUAGAGUCUUGUAGAGGGGGGUAGAAUUCCAGGUGUAGCGGUGAAAUGCGUAGAGAUCUGGAGGAAUACCGGUGGCGAAGGCGGCCCCCUGGACAAAGACUGACGCUCAGGUGCGAAAGCGUGGGGAGCAAACAGGAUUAGAUACCCUUGUAGUC
Molecule: ribosomal RNA, 465 nt
Filed under: uncultured Klebsiella sp.
Lineage: Bacteria; Pseudomonadati; Pseudomonadota; Gammaproteobacteria; Enterobacterales; Enterobacteriaceae
Description: bacterial SSU rRNA
Rfam family: Bacterial small subunit ribosomal RNA
Source: RNAcentral